RNAcentral lists this ribosomal RNA (1385 nucleotides) under Alexandrium fundyense. Its description in RNAcentral is "LSU rRNA". It matches the Rfam family "Eukaryotic large subunit ribosomal RNA", at positions 67 to 1415 of the family's 3401-position model. Lineage: Eukaryota; Dinophyceae; Gonyaulacales; Pyrocystaceae. The record is from RNAcentral.
CAAUGGGAUAUCUUUAGUAAUUGCGAAUGAACAAGGAUAUGCUUAGCUUGACAAAUGGAGCUAUUGGCUUUGAAUUGUAUUGUGGAAAUGUAUUACCAACAGAGGUGCAGGUGCCAGCCUAUUGAAAUAAAGCGUCAAUGAGGGUGAGAAUCCUGUUUGUCAUGUGCAGCCCUUUGUGCACGGUGUAUAUUUGCUGAGUCACACUCCUUGGCAUUGGAAUGCAAAGUGGGUGGUAAGUUUCAUGUAAAGGUAAACAUGCAAUUGAGACUGAUAGCACACAAGUACCAUGAGGGAAAUAUGAAAAGGACUUUGAAAAGARAAUUAAAUGAGUUUGUAUUUGCUGAACACAAAGUAAACAGACUUGAUUUGCUUGGUGGGAGUGUUGCACUUGCUUGACAAGAGCUUUGGGCUGUGGGUGUAAUGAUUCUUUCUUUGCAUGCCAGUUUCUAUUUGUACAUCUGAUUACCUUUGCACAUGAAUGAUAAGUCUCCUGUGGGGGGUGGAUUGCAUGUGCAUGUAAUGAUUUGUGUUUUGAUAAAUGUGUCUGGUGUAUGUGUGUGUUCCUGUGCUUGGGGAUGCUUCCUUCCUUGGACUUCCAAGCCCUGACACACACAUGCUGGCAAAAUGCUUYUGCUUGACCCKUCUUGAAACMCGGACCAAGGAKUYUAMCAGAUGUSCAAAGUUUGAAGGUGGUAUACCUUUGUGUGCAAUGAAAGUGUCAGCUGGGAUAUGUGCACCAGCACCCAAUUAAUUAGCGGACAGAGGUUUGAGUUGGAGCAUAUCUAUUAGGACCCGAAAGAUGGUGAACUAUGCCUGAACAGAAUGAAUUCAGAGGAAACUCUGAUGGAGGUUCGUAUCGAUACUGACGUGCAAAUCGUUCGUCAUAUUUGGGUAUAGGGGCGAAAGACUAAUCGAACCAUNUAGUAGCUGGUUCCCUCCGAAGUUUCCCUCAGGAUAGCUGGAGUUGCUCAGUUUUAUCAGGUAAAGCGAAUGAUUAGAGGAAUUGGGGACAGGUUUGUCUUUGACCUAUUCUCAAACUUUAAAUGGGUAAUAUGUAGUGGUUGCUGUAUGGAACUUCUAAGAUAAAUGGCAAUAUUGGGUGGGCCAUUUUUGGUAAGCAGAACUGGCGAUGAGGGAUGAACCUAAUGUGGGGCUAAGGUGCUUAAUUACUUGCUCAUUUGAUACCAGAAAGGGUGUUGGUUCAUUUUAACAGCAGGACGGUGGUCAUGGAAGUCGAAAUCCYCUAAGGAGUGUGUAACAAYUCACCUGCCGAAUGGACUAGCCCCGAAAAUGGAUGGCGCUCAAGCGGGUGACUGAUACCCAACCAUUGUUGUAAACAACAUCAAUGUGUAGGAGGGCAUGGUGGCUUGUGACACAGCCUUUGG